UCCGAGUUGACCCCGGCAGUCUCCCACGAGUCCCCGCCAUUACGCGCUGGCAACAUAGGAUAAGGGUUGCGCUCGUUGCGGGACUUAACCCAACAUCUCACGACACGAGCUGACGACAGCCAUGCAGCACCUGUGGUGCACCCUCGAAGGUCACACGUUUCCGUGCGCUUGCAGCGCCAUGUCAAGUCCAGGUAAGGUUCUUCGCGUUGCGUCGAAUUAAACCACAUGCUCCGCUGCUUGUGCGGGUCCCCGUCAAUUCCUUUGAGUUUUAGCCUUGCGGCCGUACUCCCCAGGCGGAACACUUAUCGCGUUGGCUGCGGCACAGAGGGAUUCGACUCCCCCCACACCUAGUGUUCAUCGUUUACGGCGUGGACUAC
This 377-nucleotide unclassified non-coding RNA is filed under the name uncultured Actinomycetes bacterium. Its description in RNAcentral is "uncultured actinobacterium contains 16S-23S intergenic spacer region". Lineage: Bacteria; Bacillati; Actinomycetota; Actinomycetes. The record is from RNAcentral.